AGAAGCGGGUCCUACACAUGCAGUCGAGCGGUAAGGCCUUUCGGGGUACACGAGCGGCGAACGGGUGAGUAACACGUGGGUGAUCUGCCCUGCACUUCGGGAUAAGCCUGGGAAACUGGGUCUAAUACCGGAUAUGACCUCCUAUCGCAUGGUGGGUGGUGGAAAGAUUUAUCGGUGCAGGAUGGGCCCGCGGCCUAUCAGCUUGUUGGUGGGGUAAUGGCCUACCAAGGCGACGACGGGUAGCCGACCUGAGAGGGUGACCGGCCACACUGGGACUGAGACACGGCCCAGACUCCUACGGGAGGCAGCAGUGGGGAAUAUUGCACAAUGGGCGAAAGCCUGAUGCAGCGACGCCGCGUGAGGGAUGACGGCCUUCGGGUUGUAAACCUCUUUCAGCAGGGACGAAGCGCAAGUGACGGUACCUGCAGAAGAAGCACCGGCUAACUACGUGCCAGCAGCCGCGGUAAUACGUAGGGUGCAAGCGUUGUCCGGAAUUACUGGGCGUAAAGAGUUCGUAGGCGGUUUGUCGCGUCGUUUGUGAAAACCAGCAGCUCAACUGCUGGCUUGCAGGCGAUACGGGCAGACUUGAGUACUGCAGGGGAGACUGGAUUUCCUGGUGUAGCGGUGAAAUGCGC
Molecule: ribosomal RNA, 635 nt
Filed under: uncultured Rhodococcus sp.
Lineage: Bacteria; Bacillati; Actinomycetota; Actinomycetes; Mycobacteriales; Nocardiaceae
Description: bacterial SSU rRNA
Rfam family: Bacterial small subunit ribosomal RNA
Source: RNAcentral